Heterocephalus glaber (naked mole-rat) is the source of this 3607-nucleotide long non-coding RNA. Lineage: Eukaryota; Metazoa; Chordata; Mammalia; Rodentia; Bathyergidae. The record is from Ensembl.
GGACCCCAGUGAGGAGAGUUCACUGUGGGCCGCUGCACUCUGGAGAGCCCGAGGAUCCAGUGGCUGUUCAGCCUAAAGAGCUGAAACUGCAGGGCAGGAGGGGCCAAGGAGGCAGCACCAGUCCAAACCAAAGGCCCAGAAGCUCCUCGGCGAGUCACACUCUGAGUCUGUGUUGGACGCUGAACAAACCAGAGCCUGACAUCACAGGCGACAGCAGCAGCCAGACAGGACCGCCCAAACGGAACGGUGCUCCCAGGAAGACACAAGACCUCCUCCACCUUCCUCCGGUCUCUAAGCCGUGAGCCCAUUGGCUGGCACUGGGCACUGUCAGAAAAGUCUGGGAUCUUGAAAAAGGGAUAAUGAAGAACAGCCUAUCAUCCUACCGCCCGUGUGUGUUACAAGGUUGGACAAUACUGCCUGUUACGUUGUACAAAGUGCUCAGAUGGCCAGGAAGUGGUCACAGAGGCUACGGUCCCGAGACGUCAGUCUACACCCUCACAGCUCUCCUGACAGCGUUUCCACCAUUAGAGCGAACAUGAAGGAGCGGCUCCCGUUCAGGAGUGAGGGCCCGUGGGGAUGAAGAUACUCGGCCUGCUUGGACUGCUGGGCAGUGAGAGCCGGUUAAGCGAUGAUCGAGGCGCAGUGCACCAAGCUGUGUCUCAAGCUAGUCACGACUGCUGUUCUCAGAAGUCUAUCCAUCUGUCCGUCCGUCCGUCCACCCAUCCCACAACUCCUUUCUGAUCAAGAUGUCAAACUGAGCCACCAUCUAGAUAAGAUGGACCCAAAGUCCCUAUAUGGACUCAGCUUGACAUGACUGCAGCCAUCUUGAACUGUAGCUGUGUGAUUGGCCCUGAUCGACCCUGGUUGGUUUUCCUCACAGUUUACAAAACCGUUAGAAUGGUGCUGGGCAUCGUGUGCAGUGAAGGGAGAGUGACUAAGACAGGCAGGCAUCAUCCUGGUGGCAGAGUUGGGUGGCCACCACAGGCCAGGUAAGUGCUGAAGAUGUCCCAGGCAGCUCACCUUGGGCCCAGCCUGCCUCGCCUGGGUUAAGUGUGGGACAGGUGGGUGGGCCCUGGAGGAGAGAAGAGACUCCAUGCAGAGAAUGCAGCAGGGCUCAGCACCGAGGCUGUCACUCAGGACCCGUCAGAGCCGCCUGCGCUUUGUCCACUGCAUGAAGCAGGGCUCGCUGCUGCAUCGAACACCUUGUUCUCAAAAGAAGAAAGAGAUGGGAAAGAAAACGCCCAGCGCCCGCUGGUGUCCGCAGAGUAAACGCUGCGUCGUGGCAGACUUCCAGCUGCCGAACGAAGCCUCGACCUUCCGCGCUCACCCGGAAACUGGCGGGAGACACUGUGGACAAGGACUCGCCGGGAGCGCAGCCACUGGCAGUGUCUGAAGAGACACUGUCUGCCGAAGAAGCCCCGGCUCCGCGAGAGUCCCCGUGACCCUUUUCUGUUUCCCAAGGAAGAUCAAUCCUCCCCAUUGCUCCUGGAAGGAAAUCAGAAGGGCGUUCUCUGGGCAGAACGACGAUGCUGCUGCCCAGUGGUGAUCGGUGGGUCACAGGGACGGGGCUGGGUCUGCCUGUGGCCGGCGACACUCUGACGCGUGCGCAUUGCCCCUGGCCUGCGUUCCCGGCCCACUGUCCUUCAUGGGGACUCAGCCCCGCCUGGGCUCCAGGUGCGACAGGCAGCGAGGGCCACUGCCGGCUCCGGCUCCCUGAGGCGCGGGCUGGGGCGCCUGUCCAGGUGGGGCCCACAUCCCCCUCCCACCUGCCCCUCUUCCGCUUGGGGUCCGCCCACCUCAGAACUGCUCAGGACAGCUGCUCUGUUUCUUGGGGACGCUCAGUGGCCCUGGUGACCAGCCAGGGCUGCAGCACCCGCGCCUUCGCCACUGCUGGCCGGCCUCAUCCACAGCAGAAGGGACCUGUGCCCCUCUCGGAGGGAAGGGGCGCCGAGGACAGGACUUAGGGCUCCCCUUCCAGGCAGAGGAGAAAACAAACUGAUUUUUCGCCAACGAUGUCCUCGAAGAAACCUUCUUUGUUUUCUGGCACAGCCUGCGGGAUUUUCGGUUCGGCACGGGUUUUGCCCGAGGGAUGCCGUUCCCUGUGCCGCAGCCCCAGCGUGCCUGUCCCCGGGAGGGGCGUGCUUGCUGGGAGGAAAUGCCCCUCUUUCCGAGGGGACGCGCCCGCGCCUCCCACUCUGUCUGCUGAGGAGACUGCGGGGCUCUGGGUGUGGCGCGGGCGCAGAGGGCGAGGAAGGGCUGUUUCCCUCUGUGUCUCCACCUCGCCUGUCCAGCAGGACCAGGAGGCUGCGGGAGCCGAGCGCGGAAGAGGCCGCCGAGCGAGCGGAGCCGCCGGGAGCGUCUGGCAAGGGGCGAGGGGUCGCCAGGGCGACCGGUGCCUGGAGACGGGAGGCCCCGCCGGCCGCCGGAAGGAGACGCUUUUGUGGCGGGGAGGCGUCUCCCUGCACGUGGAAGGGCCGAGGCUCCCUCGCCCCGCCUGGGUUGGGCCGAUCCCUGGGAGUGGGGAAGAUCGAACCUGCUCGGCGCUCAGCCGUCUCGGGUGGGCGUCCGCGGGGCAGACGGCUGCGCCGGCUUCUGCGUCGCCCCAGGCUGGGGCCCAGGGCUGCAGAUCGAGUCCGCGCCAGGCAGGGCCGGGCGCAGGACUGCGCCGAUGCUGAGGCGCGAGGGCAGCGCAGGGUGGCGGGGCCCUGCAGAGCGGACGCGGACGCGGCCUUGUCUCAGGGGCGAUGCUCGCUCUGGGACUGGGCUGGUUCCGUGACGCAGGUGGAGACAAAGCGGUUCGGUCUCCUCAGCUCGCGCUCUUGCUUCGCUUCCUGCCCCGUGGCGUCUCUGUCCCCUCCCUUCCCCGCCACGUGAUGCCAUGGCCAGAAGCCGGCGCUGGACCUCCAGACCUGUGAGCGGCGUAAACCCCUUUUUCUGUAAAACAGCGGUCUCUGGUACUUCGUCACGGUAAUGGGAAACAGACUGAGAUGCACUGCAGCCAACGACUUCCAGGAGCUUAGUGGCCGAAGAAAAAUGAAUGUUUAUUCUCAUUCGUGUCGCUGUCCAGUGGGUCGAUGGUGGGGUCAGGCUCUCGGCCUAAGUACUUCAGAGACCCGGCCUUCUGCUGCCUGGUGGCUGUGCUUCCAUCCAGGGCCCAGCCGCCUCUCCACUCAGCGGGCAAACGUGAACGAAAUGCUUGCGGGAGGGUUUAUGGGCCAACCUUAGGGUUGUGCAUGACUUCCCACAUCUCGUUCGCAAAGCUCAGUCGUGUGAGCCUAGUGACUUUGUAAGUCACAUGACUUACACCUAGUUAUAAGACAGCCGAGAGAGGCAGCGCGGUUGUGCCCAGAGCAGGGAGAGGGCAGCCAUGGAUGGGUAACAGGUGCACCUGCUGGUUGGGGAGACUGGGCCAGAUCGAAGAGUCACUGCUUCUGUCACCUGCAAGGACUGGCUGCAUUUUAAGUAACAAGGGCGCUGUUCUAAUUUUCUCCCUGACAUGUUUUCUUCAGAACUCUAUUGGGGAAGUAAAAGCCUGUUUUGACGCCCUCAAUUCCAACAUUCAGUGCGUGGUCUAGAAACUAGGAAAUAAAAUACAGAAGUUGCGAUG